Molecule: ribosomal RNA, 468 nt
Filed under: uncultured bacterium
Lineage: Bacteria
Description: partial 16S ribosomal RNA
Rfam family: Bacterial small subunit ribosomal RNA
Source: RNAcentral
GAUGAACGCUGGCGGCGUGCUUAACACAUGCAAGUCGAACGGAAAGGCGAGGCGCUUGUGGGGUGCUCGAGUGGGGAACGGGGGAGUAAAACGUGUGUAACAUGCACCUGUCAUUGGGAUAACUUCAGGAAAAUGGGGAGAAUACAGCGUAGGAGCUCCUGCUGCGUGGGGGGGGAUGGAGAGUUUCGGCGGUGGGGGAUGGACUGGCGGCUUAUCAGCUUGUUGGUGGGGUAGUGGAGUACCAAGGCUUUGACGGGUAGCCGGCCUGAGAGGGUGACCGGCGACAAUGGGCCUGCGGUACGCCCCAGACGCCUACGGGAGGCAGCAGUGGGGAGUAUUGCGCAGUGGGCCGACGCGUGAUGCAGCGAUGCCGCGUGCGGGAUGCCGGCUUUCGGGUUGUAAACCGCUUUCGCCUGUGACGAAGCGGGAGUGACGGUACUGGGUCAAGAAGCACCGGCUAACUACGUG